Molecule: long non-coding RNA, 2082 nt
Filed under: Lupinus angustifolius (narrow-leaved blue lupine)
Lineage: Eukaryota; Viridiplantae; Streptophyta; Magnoliopsida; Fabales; Fabaceae
Description: long non-coding RNA (LANG_LNC000861)
Source: RNAcentral
UUUUGAUAAGCAAUGAAUAUUUAUUUUUAUUUCGGUCUUACAAUUUAUCUUAAAUCUUCAAUCUUGUUUCAAAAUUUGACAUACAAAAUUCACUUAAUCAACUUCAAAAAUAUUUCUUUUUACUUACUUUACUUGAUCUUUAAGAAAUGAGGUCGAUUUUGCUCCUCCCUUGGAUUCAAGAAACCUGAUGCUCAAAAUGCCAGUUCACAGUCAUCUGCAGCUUCAAGUUUGCAAAGUAAUGUUCAACAGUCCCACGACAAGCUUGUUUUUGGGUCAAAUGCAAACCGCACUAACGAGACCGUUAAGGCAAAAGAGUCAAAACCAAAGCCACCUAAAAGAGAGAAAUAACAUAGCUUAGCAAGUUUUAACAACAUGGUUUACGAGAAUAAGGUGUAACCAAAGAUAAAAAUCUGAUCUCGCUUAUCUCGUGAUACUUGACCUCAUGGCAUUCGGGGCUCAGUGCAGAGAAUCAAGCAGCAUGGGCUGCAAGGCUUGGCCCUCAAAGAAAUUCCGAGGUAACACUAGCGGGUACUCUACUUCAUUCACUUUCCACGCCUAAAACAGUUGGUAAUCCUCAGAUGGACGAUAAAAUUCCAUGAACACAAGAAUAGGAUUGAGAAUGUCAGCAAUGUUCGUGAACAUGAAUGCUAGGAUGUUAAUAAAGAUAUGAGAUUAAAGCACUUACUAGCUAGUCGUGGCAGAGAUAGUGAAGAACUCCUUUUUGGAUAAAGAUGAAGUCGAAUUCAAAUGCAGGGUUCUCCAUAUCAAAUUGGAUGAACUAGGUGGUGCGAAAGCUUCGCUGAAACAGUUAUGUGAGUAAAUGUUAAAGAUGCAAAACCAAUAGGCAGUAGUGACGUCUCCCAAAAAUAAUUCCUGCAACGAGAGACCAAAGAUCAGGCAGUUACAAGUUGAACAUAAGGUGGUGCUGAAGAGAUGCAAAUCAGAAAAAUAUUCACUUUCAGUUACACACAGUCAUAAUUAACAUAAAAGGUGACAUUAUUAUUUCAGUUACAAGGAGAUGGUCAGAAUUGUAUAAAGAAUAGUGAUGAUUGGCAAAUAUCAAAAAUUAAUAGGGAAUAACAAAUAGUUAUAAGAUUACAAUCAAACCAAUCACAUGAGGAAUUCGAAGGGAAGGAAUAAUCUGCAGGAGUUACAUGUAAGGGGGCAGCCAAUUACUAUUCUUUUCAGUUACACUUGAUAUAAUUGCAAUCAUUAUGCUUGCCAAUUUUCUUCGAGUAGUUUUAAAAAUGGUAUAAUCAGAAGGCAAAGAUCAUGAUAUGUUGGCAGCCUAAGAGUCUAUCAUCAAAUAACUUAUGGUCAGCUAUAAAAGGAAGCAUACAACUGCCACAAAAAAGAGGACAUAAGCAUCAGGAGUCGAAAGAAAAAAUCAGAAACAUAAAAAGCAAGAGAGAGGAGAAAGAGAGAAACACUCAAAAAGCCAUACACCUAUAGCAAGCAAUCAAAAAGAGAGCAGUCUAUAUACUCAACAUAGUAGCUAUCUAUCACACAUAUGUAUAACACACAAAAACCGGAGAAGAGAGCGUAACAUCUGAUACAUAUAGCGGAGAAAACAUAGCAGUCAUAGGUACACAGGAAAAGAGGAGCAAUAAAAAAUGAAAUGGAAAAGACAUAUCAAUAGCUGAAGAAAAUGAUCAAUAAUAAGUAAGAACUCAACGAGAAGAUAGUUGCAGACUUACAAACAGGAAUACAUUCAGGCCACGAUGUUGGAGGGGACUCAAUCUCUAAGUGAACUAAAUGAACUUGUCUAUGGACAGGAGCAUUUAGGUAGAGAUAAUUUAUCAUUUAUCUUUACACCUAAGGCAGCAUACAAUGGAACACUUUAUGGAGUUUGUUUACAUGUGCCUGAAAUUGUUCAGAGGCCCCCUGGUAUAUUAGGGACAUUAUCUCCUCAUUCUCAUUCAUCUAGGAUAUGCAACCGUUUUCUAGUUUCUGCACCUCGUUGUUACUGUCUCCUGACUAGAGUUCCUUUCUUUGAGUUACAACAUUGAGAUGUUAAACAGGAGCGUCUGAAUCGGAUAACUCAGUUUGUAUAUGAGUUGACUCUCUCUAACCUGAUCCAUU